Molecule: ribosomal RNA, 481 nt
Filed under: uncultured bacterium
Lineage: Bacteria
Description: bacterial SSU rRNA
Rfam family: Bacterial small subunit ribosomal RNA
Source: RNAcentral
GAUGAACGCUGGCGGCGUGCUUAACACAUGCAAGUCGAACGAAGCAUUCUAACGGAACAUUUUCGGAUGGGAAGUUAAAAUGACUGAGUGGCGGACGGGUGAGUAACGCGUGGAUAACCUACCAUAUACAGGGGGACAACAGUUGGAAACGACUGCUAAUACCGCAUAAGCGCACAGUGCCGCAUGGCACGGUGUGAAAAACUCCGGUGGUAUAUGAUGGAUCCGCGUCUGAUUAGCUAGUUGGUGAGGUAAUGGCCCACCAAGGCAACGAUCAGUAGCCGACCUGAGAGGGUGACCGGCCACAUUGGGACUGAGACACGGCCCAAACUCCUACGGGAGGCAGCAGUGGGGAAUAUUGCACAAUGGGCGAAAGCCUGAUGCAGCGACGCCGCGUGAGCGAAGAAGUAUUUCGGUAUGUAAAGCUCUAUCAGCAGGGAAGAAAAUGACGGUACCUGACUAAGAAGCCCCGGCUAACUACGUG